Molecule: ribosomal RNA, 492 nt
Filed under: uncultured bacterium
Lineage: Bacteria
Description: partial 16S ribosomal RNA
Rfam family: Bacterial small subunit ribosomal RNA
Source: RNAcentral
AGUGAACGCUGGCGGUAGGCCUAACACAUGCAAGUCGAACGGCAGCACAGUAAGAGCUUGCUCUUACGGGUGGCGAGUGGCGGACGGGUGAGGAAUACAUCGGAAUCUACUUUUUCGUGGGGGAUAACGUAGGGAAACUUACGCUAAUACCGCAUACGACCUACGGGUGAAAGCAGGGCAUCUUCGGACCUUGCGCGAUUGAAUGAGCCGAUGUCGGAUUAGCUAGUUGGCGGGGUAAAGGCCCACCAAGGCGACGAUCCGUAGCUGGUCUGAGAGGAUGAUCAGCCACACUGGAACUGAGACACGGUCCAGACUCCUACGGGAGGCAGCAGUGGGGAAUAUUGGACAAAGGGCGCAAGCCUGAUCCAGCCAUACCGCGUGGGUGAAGAAGGCCUUCGGGUUGUAAAGCCCUUUUGUUGGGAAAGAAAAGCAGCAGGUUAAUACCCCGCUGUUCUGACGGUACCCAAAGAAUAAGCACCGGCUAACUUCGUG